UACGUAGGGGGCAAGCGUUGUCCGGAUUUAUUGGGCGUAAAGAGCUCGUAGGUGGUUCGGUAAGUCGGAUGUGAAAUCUCCAGGCUCAACCUGGAGGGGUCAUUCGAUACUGCCGUGACUAGAGGUCGGUAGGGGAGUGUGGAAUUCCGUGGUGGAGCGGUGAAAUGCGCAGAUAUCAGGAGGAACACCCGUAGCGAAGGCGGCACUCUGGGCCGAUACUGACACUGAGGAGCGAAAGCGUGGGGAGCGAACAGG
Molecule: ribosomal RNA, 255 nt
Filed under: uncultured bacterium
Lineage: Bacteria
Description: partial 16S ribosomal RNA
Rfam family: Bacterial small subunit ribosomal RNA
Source: RNAcentral